This 388-nucleotide long non-coding RNA is filed under the name Homo sapiens (human). RNAcentral describes it as "HSALNT0375289". The record is from RNAcentral. Lineage: Eukaryota; Metazoa; Chordata; Mammalia; Primates; Hominidae.
GGUGCUGGCGCAGGCGCUAAGAUGUUUAUAAUAAUUUAAGCUUAACGCUCGGAAAAUACUUUCUAAGGAGCAAGGAAAUGCUUUUUCUGAUGAGAUGGAUCCAGAUGUGGACCACGGCUCACCACAGGAUGACUCCCGCCAGCAUUCCCUGCAGACUCUCAAAGGGCAUCCAUGCAGUGGCGCGUGUGACACUCCACGCAGCAAGGCUCUGCCGCAGGGCCUGGUGUGGACUAAACAGAGUCGGUUAGAAAAGUGUUCUGAUGCAGUCACAGCUUUCAAGGCCUCAGCUUGCAUAAUUACAAGGGGCAGGAGCUGAAAUUUCAUCUGUGCGACAUCAGCUCAAAAGGAGCCGAGACUGGAAGAAACCGGGAGCUAUGAUUUGCACUUU